This 1141-nucleotide long non-coding RNA is filed under the name Rattus norvegicus (Norway rat). RNAcentral describes it as "long non-coding RNA NONRATT031700". Lineage: Eukaryota; Metazoa; Chordata; Mammalia; Rodentia; Muridae. The record is from RNAcentral.
GUACAAACCUUUCCAGUUAAGACACAAUUGACAUCCCAGAAAAGACAGACCCAGGAAAAUAUAUAACUGGGAGAAAAUCUCCAGGAGACAAUUAAUGGUCCCUAAAACACAAAGUGAGAAAAACAGGAUAAGGAUUCAACUAUGGGGAAAUGUACAACUGCUCUUUCCUGAGCCUAAGAUCCAUGGAAACCUGAUAUAAAUGAACAUCAAGCCCGGAUGAAAAGCUGGGGAUAGUCACUCCCACAUGUUCCUCUCCAGACUGCAUCUCCCGAGUCCAUUGCAGAUAUGGAAUAAGGCUAAAGGAAGAGCCAAUGAGAUUUCUCUUUAAUGCUGAAGACUUGAGGGCAGCAUUCAAAACCUGAUUGUGCUGGACCUUCGGGAGGCCAUGGGGAGCAGGGUCUAGUGGUGCCUCCUUGGACGAGACGGUCACAAACUGCAGGUCUUCUUGCUUCAGUUCCAGAAAUAAUAAAAAUGAAAUCUAAGAAGCCCACGGGAAUCAAAUAUGGCUAAAGAGGCCAACUAUCCAGAGACCCAAGAAAGCCUCCUAGUUAGGACCAGCAUCUAUGGGAUAAACAAAAUAAUGAUGAGUGAGAAACAACCCAUUUCUGCUCCAAGGCACAGGACAAACUGGGCGCACAAUAAGAAGACAAGCCAGCCCAUCAGGACACAAAGAGAAUUCUACCAGGCACCAGCAGAUGGGACCCAGCUGGAACUCGCAUUCUAUCAGCUGUUCUCGUCUGACUGUGACGUUCUCCACUCUAACUACGAAGAACGUCUCAAGCUCUCAAUUUUGUAUCCAAGUUCAACAUCGAACUGUGUUUUUUUUUUCUCUUACAAGGCCCAUAUAUGGUAUGUUUUCCUUUUUGGCUCCUGUAAGCCAGAUUCUCUCUUUGUACCCAUGUCUGCAGGGGCCGGCUUCCUUCCUGUCACCCACUGCCUCCCUAUCCAGUGCUUAAAGGCAACUCCUCCUAGUUUCCGGUUUCUUUAUGCUUGGAGACAUCCUCUCAUACAGUUCAGAACAUAGAGAAAUGGCUGAACCCUCUUGCAUUUCCUCAUAAGCACCUUGUCAGAUUGACUCAGGAAGAACACGAGGAAUCAGCCAUUGCAGAGCACUGAGAGCCCUGACUGAUUCAAGGCGAGU